This 958-nucleotide long non-coding RNA is filed under the name Homo sapiens (human). Its description in RNAcentral is "non-protein coding lnc-FAM84B-15:76". The record is from RNAcentral. Lineage: Eukaryota; Metazoa; Chordata; Mammalia; Primates; Hominidae.
GCUGUGGCUUGCCUUUUCACUUCUUGUGUCCUGUUUAAGAAAUAUCUGCUAUCCCAAGAUUGCAAACUCCUAGAGAAGGGCUCAACAGUGAGUGCUGAGGCUGCACAGAGGAGGAAGGCAGCACAAUGAUGGAAGGCUUCCUAAAGAGAUAACACUAACAAAGUUGACCUUAGAAUUGGAGUGCCUGGGUUAGAACCCUGCUGGUACCACCUGCUUACUGCAUGCUUCUGAUGUGAGUUCAGGAGAAGACACUGGCAAGGACAGCAAAGAACAGGAGAACACUCUAGCUUCCCUGAUAGCAUUCAAGGUGCUGUCCAAAGCUCUUGAGUUUCUGCUUUCAAGUGACCCUCAGAAAUUCCUCCAUUCACUGCAGAGGUUCUGUUUCUCCUUGCUUUGUUCUGACUUUACGGCAGAACUAAGCUAAUGAGUUAGUUACUAUGGGUUAUCACUUGGAUUUGAAGAACCAUCAUUUCUAGGCAUUGCUGCUCAGAGUGGGUCUGCCCUCAGGGGAAGCUGUCUAACCAGAGCCUAACCCACUAGGGUUUUAUCAGAACCUAACUGACCUGAGGAAAAGAAAUACUCAACUCCAGCAAGCUCCAGCCUUCCAAAUGGAGGAGGAGAAAACCCAACUCCAGCCCACUUCAGCUAUCUUGUCCCACAUAAAGGGGAAGUGGAAGAAACCUGAGAAGCAGGCAUGAAGUUCACAGUCCAGAGGUACAGACACAUCAGAGUUCAGUAUCUGAUGAAUUAGAUGCAAAAACCUCAACAAAGUAUUAGCAAAUUGAAUUCAACAAUGUAUGAAAAUUAUUACAUGCCAUGACUAAUUGGAAUUUAUCUCAGGUAUACAAGCCACGCUGAACAUCUGAAAAUCAAUUCAUGUGAUCCAUCACAUUAGCAGACUCAAGAAAAAAAACCACAUUAUCAUAUCAGUAGAUGUAGAAAAAAAAAAUUAACAAAA